Non-coding RNA from Malus domestica (apple), 2916 nucleotides. The record is from RefSeq and is a predicted model, not a curated record. Lineage: Eukaryota; Viridiplantae; Streptophyta; Magnoliopsida; Rosales; Rosaceae.
GUUUGCCCCGCACUCAUCUCUUUCCUCCUGAUUUCUUCCUGCCUGGUUGUCGUCUUGUUUUCCAACUGAAAAUCUUGUGCAACUUCUCCUCACCAAGCAACCACUGUGCUCCAGAUCUUUCAAAUUGAAAUUCCUCUCCUUCAACCUUUGCAUGUUGAAUUUCACAUCAACAGCAUCUCGAUCGGACUCAAGCUUUCCGACGGUAAUUGGACGAUUCCUCUAACGCCCGCCAUCAAGAGUUCGUCAUGAUCAUAGACAUGAGUCUAAUAUUAUCAAGUAAGAUGCCGAGUUCUCUUACAUUUGUGAAACAAACUGAUUAGAUUGCCGGCGUUGCAACAACCCUGAGUACCGAGCUAGAAGUGAAGUGAGAGAGAGAAAUGGUGCAGGGGGUAAUUUGGGCGACGGCGGAGGACUUGGCAAGAAACAGAGGACGCGUCCUCUCUCUGUAUCGCCAGAUACUCAGAAGCCUCAACUCGACGAGCUUGCCGCUGAAUCUGGCCGCAAGGCUGGCCAAGAAAGCGGAGGCGCACGCAAUCUUCAUGUUGGCGGCGGAGGAGAGAUCCCUGCACAACAUUGACGACCUCGUUGAUGCUGCUGACUACUCUCUCUCCCUCUUGAGGAAGGGGGAAUUACCCAAGUACAUUCAAUGAGUAAGUUUCUGUUUCUUGUGGAUUUUCACCCGAAUUGGAGCUUGACCCACUUGGGAUUUGGUGUCCAAUUGUUGAAUUCAAUUGGGUUUUUGGGGAAUGAUUAUCAUUCGAUGCAUUUAAUUAAUAGAAGAAAUUGAUUGCUUUCUGCAUUUUGUUGGAAGUUUUUAUGUGCUUUCAGUGAUUGAUUUACUUAUGUGAUCUCAGUUAGUUUUAAUAUUGAAAUUGUCCACGUUAAAUGAUAUUUGGUUAUUUGGAAGGUCGGUAUUUUGGGUUUUAGUUUUGAAGUCGAUUAAUUAGUGAAAUGUAUUAUGUUUUGUGGGGGGCUAAGGCAGGAGAAAAGAGAGGUUUUAGAGAUUAGUAGAUAAAAUUCAUUCAUUACUUCUCAAACAGGGAUAAAAAUCUUUGCCCGUGCUGCAGACUGCAGCAUGUGUAUUUGGCAUCUGAUGCCGGUAUCAGUAUACAGAGUUAGGGUUGUACUAACAUAUCCAAAAAGCAUCAAAUUCUUCCCUGCAUAUGAUUUAUGGAAGUUGGCAUCUUCCAAGUCCUAUUUUCAAAUGUUUGGUUUUGUAUGUCUAGUUCUGGUUUUGUGUUUUUCUUGUGUGGUUUUUUCUGAAUACCUUGGACUGGGAAGACUUGGAAAGAGAUGACACAAAAUCGAGCGCAAUGGCGUUCUAAGUUUCAUAUAGCUGACCCCACUUAGUGGGAUAACGCUUUGUUGUUGUUGUUGUUGUUGUUCUAUCAAAUGCUUAUAUUGUCACAGAUUGUGAACAGCUCGACAGUCCACACCAUUGUUUGAACUCUAUGGUGAUCUCUAGCUAUCAAACUCUACAUUAAUCAUUUAAUUUGAUGUACUGAUCAUACUUGGAAAGCAGUACCUUUAUGGUGAUUUCGUACACCACUAGCUAUAAAUAGUGGGAGGAUCGACCUAUGUGUGUUUGUUACAUAUAGUUUAAGUUGCAAAUUAACAAGUCUUAUAAUUGAUUAACAAAUGUGGUAUAGCUGGAAUUUUUACAGUAUUAAAUCAUUAGAAAAUGACAUAAACCAUCACAUCCUUUCUUGCUUGAUGUCAUACUUGAAGUUGAAAGCGUUGGUGCUACUGUAAAAACCAUCGUCCAAGUCAUCAGUAACAUGCACUUGAUCAUUGUUACCAGUGUCGCGACGGGAGUAGGAGAAGGGAACAUCACAUGAAGCCUUGGCGGCCAGCAGCCUCACCUUCACCACGCUCAUUGCCGGCACACCAACCAUGCAAACAGCCUCCACUUGAGUUUCGGAUGUCUCGGUUUCUCCCCACUGGACCGCCCCUUUAAACUCACCCCCUGAAAUCUCAAACUUCAUCGCUCCGUUGUCACCUCCUGUGAUUUGUGGAAUGCCAUCGGCUUCAACGUUGGUUUUCGGCUUUAUCGAAUAAACUCUACUGAUAUCAUUCCAACUGCAAAUAUUCGACUUCUUGUAGAGCAACUUGAGUACUACGUUUGUGGUUUGUUGGGUGAAGUUGACGGCUUCUCCUGUGGCAAUUACCGUGUCAUUUUGGUAAUUGUAGAUCCGGGCAUGGGCGAGGCGGUAACUGACAUUGUAGAUGGUCCUCGACUUAACAGGCUCUUCAACGUGGAGGUGUGAAUAAAUGGAGAGAUUAGAGACGUUGGCGCACAUACCAGUAAUAUCAGUAAUCCCGCAUGUGUAUCUCUUGCAGUACUUCUUGUUCCCUUCGUUCAUGAGAGCUAUGGCUUUGUCAUAAAGCUUGAACGCCCGAUACAAUGUGUCUUUGUAGUUUUUGACUCGGGUGGUAGGGUUAAACGCGUCCGGCCAGAUCCACUUGUCUUUGGCGAGUCUCCAGUAUCUUCCGAAGAAACUGUUUUUUAUUUGCAAGGUUCCGUCGGGGUUUCUGAAGAUCUCAUUCGCUGCAAUAGGAUCACAUGCGUCAUGACCAUCAAAUUGGAGAUACGGCCCAUCUUCUUCGUCGCCUCUGUUGUGCAUAUCCUUGUCGUCGACCAUAUUGGCUGUGAGGUAGUUACCAUCGUCUCCCUUGAACACCACAUGUUUCGGCAAUAUCACCAGCGAUUCCCAAUUGACGACUGUGCACACAUCGUGCGACUCUGCAUUGUUAGGAUCGUCUGCUGCGGUUGAGCCUCCAUAAAGUACUAAGGCGUCGGAGCUGCUGUGUAACGUAGCGUAACAUCCGAGAUGGACAUGCCGAAAUUGGACCACCUGACUAUCAAUAUCAUCACAAUUAUUAUUAUUUUUAUUAUUAUUAUUAUUGUUAUUAUUA